RNAcentral lists this ribosomal RNA (253 nucleotides) under uncultured bacterium. RNAcentral's name for it is "partial 16S ribosomal RNA". It matches the Rfam family "Bacterial small subunit ribosomal RNA", at positions 524 to 776 of the family's 1533-position model. The record is from RNAcentral.
UACGGAGGGUGCAAGCGUUGCUCGGAAUCAUUGGGCGUAAAGCGUACGCAGGCGGCUCCUUGAGUCGGGUGUGAAAGCCCAGGGCUCAACCCUGGAACUGCGCCCGAAACUGAGGAGCUUGAGUGCGGGAGAGGUGAGUGGAAUUCCUAGUGUAGAGGUGAAAUUCGUAGAUAUUAGGAAGAACACCAGUGGCGAAGGCGGCUCACUGGCUCGGUACUGACGCUGAGGCGCGAAAGCGUGGGGAGCAAACAGG